This 443-nucleotide ribosomal RNA is filed under the name uncultured bacterium. RNAcentral describes it as "partial 16S ribosomal RNA". It matches the Rfam family "Bacterial small subunit ribosomal RNA", at positions 358 to 792 of the family's 1533-position model. The record is from RNAcentral.
GGAAUCUUCGGCAAUGGGGGCAACCCUGACCGAGCAACGCCGCGUGAGUGAAGAAGGUUUUCGGAUCGUAAAGCUCUGUUGUAAGUCAAGAACGGGUGUGAGAGUGGAAAGUUCACACUGUGACGGUAGCUUACCAGAAAGGGACGGCUAACUACGUGCCAGCAGCCGCGGUAAUACGUAGGUCCCGAGCGUUGUCCGGAUUUAUUGGGCGUAAAGCGAGCGCAGGCGGUUUGAUAAGUCUGAAGUUAAAGGCUGUGGCUCAACCAUAGUUCGCUUUGGAAACUGUCAAACUUGAGUGCAGAAGGGGAGAGUGGAAUUCCAUGUGUAGCGGUGAAAUGCGUAGAUAUAUGGAGGAACACCGGUGGCGAAAGCGGCCCUCUGGUCUGUAACUGACGCUGAGGCUCGAAAGCGUGGGGAGCGAACAGGAUUAGAUACCCCUGGUA